GAUGAAGAACGCAGUGAAAUGCGAUAAGUAGUGUGAAUUGCAGAAUUCAGUGAAUCAUCGAAUCUUUGAACGCACAUUGCGCCCUUUGGUAUUCCUUAGGGCAUGCCUGUUCGAGCGUCAUUUCAACCCUCAAGCCCUGCUUGGUGUUGGGCGUUUGUCCUGCCUCCGCGCGGGACUCGCCUCAAAGACAUUGGCGGCCGGUUUCCCUUUGCAGGCCACGAGCGCAGCACAGCGAGCGCUCUACGUGGACGCGGGGUCGGCGCACCAGAAGCCCUCUUUCUCGAAUUUUGACCUCGGAUCAGGUAGGGAUACCCGCUGAACUUAAGCAUAUCAAUAAGCGGAGGA
This 345-nucleotide unclassified non-coding RNA is filed under the name soil metagenome. Its description in RNAcentral is "partial contains 5.8S ribosomal RNA, internal transcribed spacer 2, and large subunit ribosomal RNA". The stretch from base 1 to 120 matches the Rfam family "5.8S ribosomal RNA", at positions 35 to 154 of the family's 154-position model. The record is from RNAcentral.